AAAGAAUCUUAAAAUCGGCCAGAGAGAGACAAAAAUUACAUACAAAGGAUCCCCUAUCAGACUAGCGACUGAUAACUCAACAGAAACACAUCAGGCCAGAAGGGAGUGGAUUGAAAUAUACAAA
Molecule: long non-coding RNA, 124 nt
Organism: Pipistrellus kuhlii (Kuhl's pipistrelle)
Lineage: Eukaryota; Metazoa; Chordata; Mammalia; Chiroptera; Vespertilionidae
Exons: 2
Source: RefSeq, a predicted model, not a curated record